AAGACUUCUUCACCCAGACUGCCAGCAGGAGAGGACCACCAGGCCACAUGGAGCACAUUCAAAUGAGCAUAAAGGUGCUCUGGAGGAGAGAGGAGCUGCCUUUAACAAGAAUAUACACAUUUUUCCAGGCAAUCUUUCUCCAUGGCUGCUGAUCAUUCCCAACAAGAGCCCCUAAGGAAGAAGCCCAGUGACGGGAGCAACCAGCAACAGUCACAGCACAACCUCCUGCAAGACUAGAAUGG
Molecule: non-coding RNA, 242 nt
Organism: Heterocephalus glaber (naked mole-rat)
Lineage: Eukaryota; Metazoa; Chordata; Mammalia; Rodentia; Bathyergidae
Source: RefSeq, a predicted model, not a curated record